Molecule: ribosomal RNA, 263 nt
Filed under: uncultured archaeon
Lineage: Archaea
Description: partial 16S ribosomal RNA
Rfam family: Archaeal small subunit ribosomal RNA
Source: RNAcentral
ACACGACUACAUUAGAUACCCGUGUAGUCCUGGCCGUAAACGAUGUGGACUUGGUGUUGGAAUGGCUCCGAGCUGCUCCAGUGCCGAAGGGAAGCUGUUAAGUCCACCGCCUGGGAAGUACAGUCGCAAGACUGAAACUUAAAGGAAUUGGCGGGGAGCACCACAACGCGUGGAGCCUGCGGUUUAAUUGGAUUCAACGCCGGACAUCUCACCAGGGCGACAGCAGAAUGAUGGCCAGGUUGAUGACCUUGCUUGACAAGCUG